RNAcentral lists this ribosomal RNA (1552 nucleotides) under Staphylococcus aureus. RNAcentral describes it as "16S ribosomal RNA". It matches the Rfam family "Bacterial small subunit ribosomal RNA". The record is from RNAcentral. Lineage: Bacteria; Bacillati; Bacillota; Bacilli; Caryophanales; Staphylococcaceae.
UUUAUGGAGAGUUUGAUCCUGGCUCAGGAUGAACGCUGGCGGCGUGCCUAAUACAUGCAAGUCGAGCGAACGGACGAGAAGCUUGCUUCUCUGAUGUUAGCGGCGGACGGGUGAGUAACACGUGGAUAACCUACCUAUAAGACUGGGAUAACUUCGGGAAACCGGAGCUAAUACCGGAUAAUAUUUUGAACCGCAUGGUUCAAAAGUGAAAGACGGUCUUGCUGUCACUUAUAGAUGGAUCCGCGCUGCAUUAGCUAGUUGGUAAGGUAACGGCUUACCAAGGCAACGAUGCAUAGCCGACCUGAGAGGGUGAUCGGCCACACUGGAACUGAGACACGGUCCAGACUCCUACGGGAGGCAGCAGUAGGGAAUCUUCCGCAAUGGGCGAAAGCCUGACGGAGCAACGCCGCGUGAGUGAUGAAGGUCUUCGGAUCGUAAAACUCUGUUAUUAGGGAAGAACAUAUGUGUGUAAGUAACUGUGCACAUCUUGACGGUACCUAAUCAGAAAGCCACGGCUAACUACGUGCCAGCACGCGGUAAUACGUAGGUGGCAAGCGUUAUCCGGAAUUAUUGGGCGUAAAGCGCGCGUAGGCGGUUUUUUAAGUCUGAUGUGAAAGCCCACGGCUCAACCGUGGAGGGUCAUUGGAAACUGGAAAACUUGAGUGCAGAAGAGGAAAGUGGAAUUCCAUGUGUAGCGGUGAAAUGCGCAGAGAUAUGGAGGAACACCAGUGGCGAAGGCGACUUUCUGGUCUGUAACUGACGCUGAUGUGCGAAAGCGUGGGGAUCAAACAGGAUUAGAUACCCUGGUAGUCCACGCCGUAAACGAUGAGUGCUAAGUGUUAGGGGGUUUCCGCCCCUUAGUGCUGCAGCUAACGCAUUAAGCACUCCGCCUGGGGAGUACGACCGCAAGGUUGAAACUCAAAGGAAUUGACGGGGACCCGCACAAGCGGUGGAGCAUGUGGUUUAAUUCGAAGCAACGCGAAGAACCUUACCAAAUCUUGACAUCCUUUGACAACUCUAGAGAUAGAGCCUUCCCCUUCGAGGGACAAAGUGACAGGUGGUGCAUGGUUGUCGUCAGCUCGUGUCGUGAGAUGUUGGGUUAAGUCCCGCAACGAGCGCAACCCUUAAGCUUAGUUGCCAUCAUUAAGUUGGGCACUCUAAGUUGACUGCCGGUGACAAACCGGAGGAAGGUGGGGAUGACGUCAAAUCAUCAUGCCCCUUAUGAUUUGGGCUACACACGUGCUACAAUGGACAAUACAAAGGGCAGCGAAACCGCGAGGUCAAGCAAAUCCCAUAAAGUUGUUCUCAGUUCGGAUUGUAGUCUGCAACUCGACUACAUGAAGCUGGAAUCGCUAGUAAUCGUAGAUCAGCAUGCUACGGUGAAUACGUUCCCGGGUCUUGUACACACCGCCCGUCACACCACGAGAGUUUGUAACACCCGAAGCCGGUGGAGUAACCUUUUAGGAGCUAGCCGUCGAAGGUGGGACAAAUGAUUGGGGUGAAGUCGUAACAAGGUAGCCGUAUCGGAAGGUGCGGCUGGAUCACCUCCUUU